AGAGUUUGAUCCUGGCUCAGAUUGAACGCUGGCGGCAUGCCUUACACAUGCAAGUCGAACGGCAGCACGGGUGCUUGCACCUGGUGGCGAGUGGCGAACGGGUGAGUAAUACAUCGGAACAUGUCCAGUAGUGGGGGAUAGCCCGGCGAAAAGCCGGAUUAUACCGCAUACGAUCUACGGAUGAAAGCGGGGGACCUUCG
Molecule: ribosomal RNA, 200 nt
Filed under: uncultured bacterium
Lineage: Bacteria
Description: partial 16S ribosomal RNA
Rfam family: Bacterial small subunit ribosomal RNA
Source: RNAcentral